UACGGGGGGGGCAAGCGUUGUUCGGAAUUACUGGGCGUAAAGGGCGCGUAGGCGGCCUGUUAAGUCGAACGUGAAAUCCCCGGGCUCAACCCGGGAACUGCGUCCGAUACUGGCAGGCUUGAAUUCGGGAGAGGGAUGCGGAAUUCCAGGUGUAGCGGUGAAAUGCGUAGAUAUCUGGAGGAACACCGGUGGCGAAGGCGGCAUCCUGGACCGAGAUUGACGCUGAUGCGCGAAAGCCAGGGGAGCAAACGGG
This 253-nucleotide ribosomal RNA is filed under the name uncultured bacterium. RNAcentral's name for it is "partial 16S ribosomal RNA". It matches the Rfam family "Bacterial small subunit ribosomal RNA", at positions 524 to 776 of the family's 1533-position model. The record is from RNAcentral.